Molecule: ribosomal RNA, 320 nt
Filed under: uncultured bacterium
Lineage: Bacteria
Description: bacterial SSU rRNA
Rfam family: Bacterial small subunit ribosomal RNA
Source: RNAcentral
CGCAAGGUGAGCGGCAGACGGGUGAGUAACGCGUGGGAACCUUCCCUUUGGUACGGAAUAACUUCGGGAAACCGAAGCUAAUACCGUAUAAGUCCUUCGGGAGAAAGAUUUAUCGCCAAAGGAUGGGCCCGCGUUGGAUUAGCUAGUUGGUAGGGUAAAGGCCUACCAAGGCAACGAUCCAUAGCUGGUCUGAGAGGAUGAUCAGCCACACUGGGACUGAGACACGGCCCAGACUCCUACGGGAGGCAGCAGUGGGGAAUAUUGGACAAUGGACGCAAGCCUGAUCCAGCCAUGCCGCGUGAGUGAAGAAGGCCUUAGGG